RNAcentral lists this ribosomal RNA (790 nucleotides) under uncultured bacterium. RNAcentral describes it as "bacterial SSU rRNA". It matches the Rfam family "Bacterial small subunit ribosomal RNA", at positions 8 to 793 of the family's 1533-position model. The record is from RNAcentral.
AGAGUUUGAUCCUGGCUCAGAUUGAACGCUGGCGGCAUGCCUUACACAUGCAAGUCGAACGGCAGCACGGGAGCAAUCCUGGUGGCGAGUGGCGAACGGGUGAGUAAUAUAUCGGAACGUGCCCAGUCGUGGGGGAUAACGCAGCGAAAGCUGUGCUAAUACCGCAUACGAUCCAUGGAUGAAAGCGGGGGAUCGCAAGACCUCGCGCGAUUGGAGCGGCCGAUAUCAGAUUAGCUAGUUGGUGAGGUAAAGGCUCACCAAGGCGACGAUCUGUAGCUGGUCUGAGAGGACGACCAGCCACACUGGAACUGAGACACGGUCCAGACUCCUACGGGAGGCAGCAGUGGGGAAUUUUGGACAAUGGGCGCAAGCCUGAUCCAGCAAUGCCGCGUGCAGGAUGAAGGCCUUCGGGUUGUAAACUGCUUUUGUACGGAGCGAAAAGGCUUCUCUUAAUACGAGGGGCUCAUGACGGUACCGUAAGAAUAAGCACCGGCUAACUACGUGCCAGCAGCCGCGGUAAUACGUAGGGUGCGAGCGUUAAUCGGAAUUACUGGGCGUAAAGCGUGCGCAGGCGGUUUUGUAAGACAGAUGUGAAAUCCCCGGGCUCAACCUGGGACCUGCAUUUGUGACUGCAAGGCUAGAGUACGGUAGAGGGGGAUGGAAUUCCGCGUGUAGCAGUGAAAUGCGUAGAUAUGCGGAGGAACACCGAUGGCGAAGGCAAUCCCCUGGACCUGUACUGACGCUCAUGCACGAAAGCGUGGGGAGCAAACAGGAUUAGAUACCCUGGUAG